AUGGGCGGCCACCUGCUUAACGACGGCGCCAACCUAACUCUGACCAUGGUGACGGUCGACAGAUGCCAAUGUUGCAAGCUGUCUUCUUUGGCCGGAAGAUGCUUUAGUUUAGCAGCAUCAACAACGCAAAAAGAGAGAGGAAGAAAAAUGGAUGUCAGGCUCAUCUCUGGAGUGUUUGCAAUCCUUUUCAUGCCAGGUGUUUGUGCAAAUGAACCAGCAUGCUCAUGCAUGCCUAUGGAAGUUGAAAGGAAACAAAUGUUCCAGGAUCACUAUCAGCAUAUAUUUUCUAAAUGUCAACCUAGAGAAAACGCAGUGACUGUUUGUGUAUAUGUCUCAAACAAAAAACUGUCUUUUUUGUAA
This 360-nucleotide ribosomal RNA is filed under the name Triticum aestivum (bread wheat). Its description in RNAcentral is "partial small subunit ribosomal RNA". The record is from RNAcentral. Lineage: Eukaryota; Viridiplantae; Streptophyta; Magnoliopsida; Poales; Poaceae.